CUCUAAACAAAAUGAUGUUUUCCAACACUGCCAGCAAGCAAACUUGGCUCUGAAAAUUGCAACAGUCGAUAAUGUCUGCUACCAACUCUCAAUGCAUGCUUUUCCCCACAAGGCUAUCUGUUUUUUUGCAACUAUUCGGUUCGCAAAUUCCAAUGAUAUACAGCCGUAAUGCAUUUCAGUUCCCACUUGUCACAAUUUUAAAUAAACCGCGUUUGGACCCAUCGCUCACUGCAAUCGAUAGGGAUGGGGUUUUGGAUGGAGAAUAUUAAAUAUUACAUAAAUGUUGUUAAUAUCCGAAAGAGUAUAAAUGCAACAGCAAAAAAUAUUACGGAAUGUAUACUCGGAAUAAUAAGUGAUUAAAACAGAAUAAAUAGGCAUGCACAUUAAAUCGCCUUUUAUUCAAUGUAUCGAUACGAACUAUCGAUAUAUUUUGUCACAGCCGACUUUCCAUUGAAGAGUGCCACGAGAAAUUGUGCUUAAAGCUAACGAUUUGCUAAAGAAAACGAAAAAAAGUAAGUUAAUAGAAUGUACGGAAUACAAAAACUAUAUAAAUAAACACCACAGAUAAAUCCAGGAACGAAAAUGAACAGCCAGGCAAGCCACGGAUCCUCAACGUCUUCCGGCGCCGCUAAGAGACGCCACAGCGCCGAGCACGAGCCGGUGCACGAGUUUGGCGAACAAGUCUGGGCUGACCUGAACAGCCUGUGCAUGGACGAGCACUUCUCGGACGUGUCUUUCAUUGUGGAGGAUCAGCGCGUGCCGGUGCACCGCAUUAUUCUAGGAAAGCGCAGUAAUGACUUCCGCGACCUACUCUGCGGUGACACGGCCGAGUGCGAGGGACAGAUCGGAGUGGAUUCGCUGGAGGCAUUCAAAAUAGUCCUGGGCUACCUUUACUCGGGCACUCUGCCCAUAUCCACACUGGACCAGGAAUGCCAUCAUCCAAGUUCUCGGCCUGGCCAAUCGGUUUGGUUUGCUGGAAGUCGAGUCGGAAAUAGCCAAACCCCUGGAGGAGAAUCUGGCCGUCAGCAACGUUUUCACAAUCCUGAAUCAUAUUCCUGACCUUGAAAUGCCUCGAUUUCGUGGACAAACUUACAACUUACUGCUGGAACACGACUCCUUCCAAAUGCUGUCCAAGUCUUCGCUUGAAGAAGUCCUGCGACGGGACACUUUCUGUGCCAGCGAGCUGGACAUAUUUCUAGCGGUAAGGGAAUGGUGUCGCAACAAGCCGCGCGCGUUCUUCAAGUCGGUGGUCUCGCUUGUGCGCCUCUCUCUGAUGACUGCCGAUGAUCUCCGUCACUCCAGCAAAAGCGCUCUGCUCGUAGAAGAGCGUAGAGAGUAGAGUAAGAGAGUAGAAGAGCGAUCGGACGCCUGAAGGUUUUAAAUGAUGUGACGCUUAAAGCCCUUCUAAACACCAGUCUGGAAAUAUAACCAUAUUCCUUAGACGAUCGAUCCACUUGGCGACUGUUUGAAGUAGCGACGCCUGAGUGAGGAUUUAACGAGUUGUUCCUUUUCUUUUUCAUUUAAAUGGAUUGCAUAUUUUUAUUUGAACUUUAACUAACUUCGUGGAACGAAUUAAAUUCUUAUAACUACAGAUGAAUACACAUUUUGUAUUAAAUAUUUUAUAGAAUUUGUCUUGUUCGAUUUCCAAGAUCCAAUGUUUUAUGGAAUUGGAUGACGAAACUCCUGAGCGGAACCCACAAGUUCUCAGAGCUGGCCAUCCAGCCAGGAUCGGGCAGAUCCCUGCCGCAACGGCAACACCCUCUCAGAGGCGACCACCAUAUCAGGACGAUCUGUGGCAUCCACAAUUUUGAAGGUAAGGUAAAACCGAUAGCGCAGAAUCAUAGACAUCAUUGCUAAUAUUGACCAUUUUAGUGCUUACGCAACCCCCAGCCACGCGCUUACUCAUCCUCUCCCUCAGACACUCUUCCUGGUGCAGUGUGUGGCAUCUGGCGGAAAGGAACCCACAUAUUGACUGAGCGACUGAUUACCCAAGAGAUUAGAUUGGAUUCUGGAGAAGGGAUCGGCCCAUUUUAAGGACUACAAUUCCCUUUGCACUGCCCAU
This 2062-nucleotide unclassified non-coding RNA is filed under the name Drosophila pseudoobscura pseudoobscura. RNAcentral's name for it is "GA25481". Lineage: Eukaryota; Metazoa; Arthropoda; Insecta; Diptera; Drosophilidae. The record is from RNAcentral.